UAGGUCUUAUAUUCAUUUAAAAUGAUUUUAAAUUGCAAAUUUAAAGGUGAAGUAUUUCUAAGACUU
RNAcentral lists this transfer RNA (66 nucleotides) under Sciopemyia fluviatilis. Its description in RNAcentral is "tRNA-Cys". Lineage: Eukaryota; Metazoa; Arthropoda; Insecta; Diptera; Psychodidae. The record is from RNAcentral.